RNAcentral lists this ribosomal RNA (439 nucleotides) under Enterobacter cloacae. RNAcentral's name for it is "bacterial SSU rRNA". It matches the Rfam family "Bacterial small subunit ribosomal RNA", at positions 37 to 471 of the family's 1533-position model. Lineage: Bacteria; Pseudomonadati; Pseudomonadota; Gammaproteobacteria; Enterobacterales; Enterobacteriaceae. The record is from RNAcentral.
GGAUUUUUCGGCAGCCUAACCAUGCAAGUCGAACGGUAGCACAGAGAGCUUGCUCUCGGGUGACGAGUGGCGGACGGGUGAGUAAUGUCUGGGAAACUGCCUGAUGGAGGGGGAUAACUACUGGAAACGGUAGCUAAUACCGCAUAACGUCGCAAGACCAAAGAGGGGGACCUUCGGGCCUCUUGCCAUCAGAUGUGCCCAGAUGGGAUUAGCUAGUAGGUGGGGUAACGGCUCACCUAGGCGACGAUCCCUAGCUGGUCUGAGAGGAUGACCAGCCACACUGGAACUGAGACACGGUCCAGACUCCUACGGGAGGCAGCAGUGGGGAAUAUUGCACAAUGGGCGCAAGCCUGAUGCAGCCAUGCCGCGUGUAUGAAGAAGGCCUUCGGGUUGUAAAGUACUUUCAGCGGGGAGGAAGGUGUUGUGGUUAAUAACCCCA